AAAAAUAUUUGUAGUUUAAUUUAAUUUAAUAAAAAUUUAUUUUAUAUAUAAAUUUUAGUGUUUAUUUUUAAUUAUUUAAAUAAUAAUUAAAUUAUUUAAUAGUAAUUAAUAUUAAAAAUUUAAGAAAUUAAGAUUUAGUAAUUUUUAAAUUAAUAACAAAUUUUGUGCCCGCAGUUGCGGUUAAACAAAAAUUAAAUUAAAUUUUAUUAGUAAUUAAUUAUAAAAUAAAAUUAUAUAUAUAUAUAAUGAAUAAUUAAAUAUUAAAUUAUUAGGGGAAAUUUUAAUUUGAUAAAAUUUUUUUUUUUUAGAAUUAAUAAAAUUUUUAAUUAAACUAGGAUUAGAUACCCUAUUAUAAAAAAGUAAAAAAAAUAAUACUAAAAUAUUAUUUAAUUAUUUGAUGAAACUUAAAUAAUUUGGCGGUAUUUUAGUUCAUUUAGAGGAAUCUGUUUAAUAAUUGAUAAUCCACGAAUAAAUUUACUUAAUUUAAAAUUUUAUAUAUCGUUGUUAAAAAAAUAUUUUUAAAUAAAAAAUAAUAUUUUAAAAUUUGAUUAAAAAAUUAUAUUAGAUCAAGAUGUAGAUUAUAAUUAAGAAUAUAAUGGAUUACAAUAAAAAUAUUUAAAUGAAUAUUAAUUUUUAAAAAUUAAUUGAAAGUGGAUUUAAAUGUAAUUUUAUUUAAUUUAUUAAAAUGAUUAAAAAUUAAAAUAUGUACAUAUUGCCCGUCACUUUCAUAUUAUAAAUUGAAAUAAGUCGUAACAAAGUAGAGGUACUGGAAAGUGUUUCUAGAAAUAC
This 789-nucleotide non-coding RNA is filed under the name Chilo auricilius. Lineage: Eukaryota; Metazoa; Arthropoda; Insecta; Lepidoptera; Crambidae. The record is from RNAcentral.